Molecule: ribosomal RNA, 465 nt
Filed under: uncultured bacterium
Lineage: Bacteria
Description: partial 16S ribosomal RNA
Rfam family: Bacterial small subunit ribosomal RNA
Source: RNAcentral
CCUACGGGAGGCAGCAGUAGGGAAUUUUUCACAAUGGGCGAAAGCCUGAUGGAGCAAUGCCGCGUGAAUGAUGAAGGUCUUAUAGAUUGUAAAAUUCUUUGAUUUGGGAAGAAAAACUAAAGUAGGAAAUGACUGUAGUCUGACUGUACUAUUUGACUAAGUAUCGGCUAACUAUGUGCCAGCAGCCGCGGUAUUACAUAGUAUGCAAGGGUUAUCGGGUUUUACUGGGCGUAAAACGAGCGCAGGCGGGAUAAAAAGUUUGGGAUGAAGGGGUUGUGCUUAACGAGAGUUUGAAGCAAAACCUGUAGAUCUAGAGUGUAGGAGAGAGAUCCGGAAUUCCUGGGGUAGCGGUGAAAUGCGUAGAGAUCAGGAGGAACACCGGUGGCGAAGGCGGCCUGCUGGACUGCAACUGACGUUGAGGCUCGAAAGCGUGGGGAGCAAACAGGAUUAGAUACCCCAGUAGUC